GAAAUGCGAUAAGUAAUGUGAAUUGCAGAAUUCAGUGAAUCAUCGAAUCUUUGAACGCACCUUGCGCUCCUUGGUAUUCCUUGGAGCAUGCCUGUUUGAGUAUCAUGAAAUCUUCAAAGUAAAUCUUUUGUUAACUCAAUUGGUUUCUACUUUGGUAUUGGAGGUCUUUGCAGCUUCACACCUGCUCCUCUUUGUUCAUUAGCUGGAUCUCAGUGUUAUGCUUGGUUCCACUCGGCGUGAUACGUUAUCUAUCGCUGAGGACACUGUAAAAGGUGGCCAAGGUAAAUGCAGAUGAACCGCUUCUAAUAGUCCAUUGACUUGGACAAUACUUUUAUGAUCUGAUCUCAAAUCAGGUAGGACUACCCGCUGAACUUAAGC
This 378-nucleotide unclassified non-coding RNA is filed under the name plant metagenome. RNAcentral describes it as "partial contains 5.8S ribosomal RNA, internal transcribed spacer 2, and large subunit ribosomal RNA". The stretch from base 1 to 105 matches the Rfam family "5.8S ribosomal RNA", at positions 50 to 154 of the family's 154-position model. The record is from RNAcentral.